GAGCACCCUCGUGGCCUCCUGCAGAGCAGAGAGGGAAGCCAGGGUGCCAGCCUGUGCUGUCUGGAAACACAGCCAGCAGACAGCUUCUUCUUCUCAUGCUUUCUUCUCUUCAUCUUGAGUCCUUGUUGUCUCAUCCUGUCGUGUGCCAUGAGUUCAUCUGGAAGCAAGUGAAGAGUAUCAUCUUUGUUCUUCGUCUCACCAUGUGCGCCUCCAUCCCACAACCAUGUCCUGCUACGAUCUGUGCCGUCCCUGUGGGCCAACCCCGCUUGCCAACAGCUGCAACGAGCCCUGUGUCCGGCAGUGCCAG
RNAcentral lists this long non-coding RNA (307 nucleotides) under Cairina moschata (Muscovy duck). Its description in RNAcentral is "domestica (muscovy Duck (domestic type)) lncRNA (ENSCMMG00000009010.1)". Lineage: Eukaryota; Metazoa; Chordata; Aves; Anseriformes; Anatidae. The record is from RNAcentral.